GCCGUGGUGGCGGAAUGGUAUACGCAGCGGACUUAAAAUCCGCGGGCUGCAAGGCCAUGAGAGUUCGAGUCUCUCCCGCGGCA
RNAcentral lists this transfer RNA (83 nucleotides) under Candidatus Moranbacteria bacterium RIFCSPHIGHO2_01_FULL_55_24. Its description in RNAcentral is "tRNA-Leu". It matches the Rfam family "tRNA". Rfam says of the family: Transfer RNA (tRNA) molecules are approximately 80 nucleotides in length. Their secondary structure includes four short double-helical elements and three loops (D, anti-codon, and T loops). The record is from RNAcentral. Lineage: Bacteria; Candidatus Moraniibacteriota.